GAGGGCUGCAGGCUGGAGGUCUGAGAGCUCCCUGACCACCCUCACUGCUCCUGGCGGCUGCUCCCACCUGGGCCCCAGGCCCCGCUUCAGAGCCCUGAGGCUUCCUCAGCCAGGCCCCAAAGACUCCAGUGUUUACAAGACCAGAAAUGCCACGGCCACGUCCCGGCAGAAAGAAAGGCUGAAAUGGAGGACCGACGCCUUCCUUAUAAGCUCACUGGGGCCUGAGCCAGUACCA
Molecule: long non-coding RNA, 235 nt
Filed under: Sus scrofa (pig)
Lineage: Eukaryota; Metazoa; Chordata; Mammalia; Artiodactyla; Suidae
Description: lncRNA (ENSSSCG00070030008.1)
Source: RNAcentral